GGCUCGGUGGUGGAUGGUCCACGCCUGCAUUUCUUGAACCAGCUUUACGUAGACGCAGGACGAGCCCGUUCGAUUCGGGCCUGAGCCA
Non-coding RNA from Mycena epipterygia, 88 nucleotides. Lineage: Eukaryota; Fungi; Basidiomycota; Agaricomycetes; Agaricales; Mycenaceae. The record is from the annotation of a GenBank genome assembly.